This 406-nucleotide ribosomal RNA is filed under the name uncultured bacterium. Its description in RNAcentral is "bacterial SSU rRNA". It matches the Rfam family "Bacterial small subunit ribosomal RNA", at positions 28 to 424 of the family's 1533-position model. The record is from RNAcentral.
GAUGAUCGCUGGCGGCGUGCCUAAUACAUGCAAGUCGAACGAGGUGCUUUUGUAGCAAUACGAGAGUAUCCUAGUGGCGAACGGGUGAGUAACGCGUUGGUGACCUACCCAAGUAGUGGGAGUAACAGUCCGAAAGGAUUGCUAAUACCGCAUGUGGUCUUCGGAUUUAGUAAACUGAUGACUAAAGGAGCAAUUCGCUUUGGGAGGGACCUGCGUCCCACUCAGCUAGUUGGUGAGGUAAUGGCUCACCAAGGCUACGACGGGUAGGGGACCUGAGAGGGUGACCCCCACAAUGGAACUGAAACACGGUCCAUACACCUACGGGUGGCAGCAGUAGGGAAUAUUGCACAAUAGGGCGAAAGACCUGAUGCAGCAACGCCGCGUGUGCGAUGAAGGCCUUCGGGUC